UCCCAUAACGAGCGCAACCCCCAUUUCUAGUUGCCAGCGGUUCGGCCGGGGACUCUAGAGAAACUGCCAGUGUAAGCUGUGAGGAAGGUGGGGAUGACGUCAAAUCAUCACGGCCCUUACAUUCUGGACCACACACGUGCUACAAUGGUGGGGACAACAGGUUGCCAACCCGCGAGGGUGAGCCAAUCCCAAAACCCCAUCUCAGUUCGGAUCGGAGUCUGCAACUCGACUCCGUGAAGUUGGAAUCGCUAGUAAUCGCGGAUCAGCCAUGCCGCGGUGAAUACGUUCCCGGGCCUUGUACACACCGCCCGUCAAGCCAUGGAAGCUGGGGGCGCCUGAAGUCGGUCACCGCAAGGAACUGCCUAGGGCGAAUCUGGUAACUGGGGGUAAGUCGUAACAAGGUAGCCGUACCGGAAGGUGCGGCUGGAUUAUCUCCUUUUUAGAGAAAACGACAAUCUGGUUUUGUUGGGCUGCUGCAUCAUUCUUCUUUUUUCCGUCUUAUCUCUAGUCCUGUAGCUCAGUUGGUUAGAGCACUACCCUGAUAAUGUAGGGGUCAGCAGUUCAAAUCUGCUCAGGACUGCGAUGAAAGAUGGGGGAUUAGCUCAGCUGGCUAGAGCGCCUGCUUUGCAAGCAGGAGGUCAUCGGUUCGACUCCGAUAUUCUCCACAUAAGAAGUUCUUUGACGUACUGGUAGAAGAUAGCGAAAUUGAUAAGUAAAGAAGGGCAGUAGGCGGAUGCCUUGGCUCUCAACAGCGAUGAAGGACGUGACAAGCUGCGAUAAGCCAU
RNAcentral lists this small RNA (785 nucleotides) under uncultured bacterium. RNAcentral's name for it is "bacterial SSU rRNA". The stretch from base 1 to 439 matches the Rfam family "Bacterial small subunit ribosomal RNA", at positions 1085 to 1533 of the family's 1533-position model. The record is from RNAcentral.